GUACUUGGGCACCUUACAAUCCAACACCAUACGUGCUUUGAAAACGCGGGCAGCUGCUUCACAAGGACCCCCCUAUUUUGCAUACAAGUCGACGUGGAUACUACCUGCUGUGACCGCCGUAUCAGAAGACACUUUUCCUGUACGGGCGGAACCAACAACAGCGAAGUUCAAAAAACCCGACUAGUAGCUAAAACUCAGCAUUCAUAGAGUUAAACGUCCCCGUCCGUGACUUGUACAUAACAAUCCAAGCAUCUCCUAAGCGUCUUUCUCCCCCUUCGUAAGGCCAUCGCGUCCACCAACGCACGUCUUACAUCCGCCCAGUACAGUGCCGUUGAAGCUGUGACGAGUAAUAUGAACGCUUAAGUAAUUCAUGAACAUCCGCUGCGUUUGCCUAGCAUUGUCGUAAAGGAGGUCGCGUCGGCAUCAGGCCAUCAACGUUGCGCCCAGGACAACACUUGCUGCAGCCAAGAAACAGAAAGUAUAUCUCUAUUCGUUCAUCCCCUUGGUCUUAGGGUUGCCCCUAAGACGACGUACAUACCACCUCCUGACACCGCCGUACCGGAAAGCACUUUUCCGGUACGGGCAGAGCCAGCAGCAUUCCAGGUUCAGAAUUGAACCCAAAGGCAGAAAUCACCAUUCUGAGAGUUGAACGUCGCCAUCCAUGAUUUAGACAUACCAUUCCAUGGCCUGUGCAUGCGCGUCC
RNAcentral lists this long non-coding RNA (703 nucleotides) under Volvox carteri. RNAcentral describes it as "long non-coding RNA (VCAR_LNC004157)". The record is from RNAcentral. Lineage: Eukaryota; Viridiplantae; Chlorophyta; Chlorophyceae; Chlamydomonadales; Volvocaceae.